CCCAUUUUUCUCAUCAAAACGGCUCCCAUUCCUCCAGUUACCGGGGCUGCUCUUAAGAACUGAUCCUAUCCAAAGAAAGAAAGCUUUGUAAUUAAAUGCUGGGGAGAAAACAUGCCAAUGACGUGUGACUAGACAUUAAGUUCAUCAAGGUGCUCUGAUGGAAGGAGGCAGCUGUGGAGGUUCAUCCGUCCCUCUUUUCCAGGGAACACUCCUAAAAAAAAGGGCAACUGUGCAGAGUACAAUAUAAAUCCCCAAAUAACCCAGGUUUCCAAUUUUGUUUCCAUUCCCUAGUAUCAUCAUCUGUUUCUUUACCCCAGUGUGAAAAAGCUGAUUAAUUUAAUGAGACCACAAUAAUAAACUGUAUUUAUCAGGUCACAUCCAAAUCAUUCCAUUCUAGAAAUAAAAGUUCUUUUAAACCAACUACUUUAAAUGUUUUACUGAUUAAUGAGAAUACUGAUAAAACUUUGCUUUUUUUGUAAUCUAAAAAUACACUGCAACAAACUAAAAAGAACAUGGAGGAUGUUGGUAUUCCAUGUGUUUUUUUAACACAUAAGGCAGAUGCUGGACUAUACUAAAGAAGAGCCGAAAUGAUCGUUUGACAGGUUUUCUAAACACAACUAAACGUUUAAUGAGUAGACAAUAUUUGUGAUAUUUAACAUGGAUGAUACAUCCUAAAUUUUCAGCUGCCUAAUGACUUCUACAUGUUGUGGCCCAUUUUUAAUUUUAAAAAGUUUCUUUUUUAAUUGAUACUAGCAUCAAAUAUUCUUCAGUAAUUCUAUACAAAUGAAUCUUUUCCUUUAAGUGCUACUUUUAUCUAUAAUUUAAAAUUUGGUCUGAACAUAUCUUUAUCUCAUAAUUUAUCAAAAUAAUUUGCUUCCCAAAGUAUAUCUUACAUAAAAUAUAAAGUCGAAGCCUUUUUUAAAGGUGCUACUAAACAUUUUAAAGUUAUUUACUUAAAGUCUGUUAACUGCCUACAAGACUGCAAAUACCAGAAGAAAUUAUUUUAGGGGAAAACCAAUUGAGUCAGUAAAAGAUUCACUUUUUAAAAGUUAUUUAAGUUAUUAACACAUUUAGAAGUAUACAAACAUUAUGGAUCAGCACAUCAUUAGAUAAAGACCAAAAUUUUGUAAUGGAAGCACAUUCAGAAGUUUCUACCUAGCAGUGUACAUGACUCUGUAUUAUGUGCCUAUUUUAACACCCAUAAGCUUUAUUUCUAACUUCCUGAAAUAUUGGCUGAGUACUUAGCUUCAAGAAUAAAUAGUAUUAAAGAAUUAAAACUAAAGAAAUAGAUGUACAUUUAUAGUUCUUCCAAAGAUGAAAGACAUUUUUUCAAAUAUUAUAUAAAUCACUUUCAUAGUAACUAUAAUAUAGAAGUCCAAGAUUAAUCCAAUCUUUAAAAUAUUUUGCUAUAUACAUUUUCACCCUUUAUUCUAACACCAACCCUCAGCAAACUGCAGAAAUUGUAAUUUCUUAAUGAAUCUAACUGUGUACUCACUAUACACAUCAGUGCAACUACUUCCCAAAAAAAGGCAGGCAUAAUGAGUAUACAUGAUGUUUCAUAUUAAUUUGUUAGUAAGAUCAACAAAGAUAAAGCUAUCAAAAUUGAAAUAAAUGUUACAAGAUUAAAAUACACAAAGCAACCAAUGUCUCAUUUUUCAGAAAUUCAGCUCAUUCACUGGCACUCAUAGCAACUCUCUAUAGGUAACCAUCACGUUACUGAUUACCACUAGACACCUCAGAGACUUUGAAAUUCCAAAGAGUUACUUGCCCACGAUUACACAAGGAGUCAGGAGUACAACAGGAUAAAGAAACCUUCCCAAUCCAUUAGACCACGCGGCCUCCCAGUUUCAGCACUGCUAUGCUGCCAGUACUCCUGUAACAAAUUUCCCAUCACCCAUCCAACCAAGCUUUGUCCCUUCACCAGAACGCGCUUCUUCAGAAUGCCCUUCUUAGCCACCUAAGACUCCCCCAAUGAUGAGGCAGCCGUAGGUGGAGUUCACAGGUCUCACUGCAGAAUCUGAAACCAGAUGCACCUACAUCUUCGUAGCACGAGGCGUCCAUUCUCUCCCUUGAUUUUAGGUCUUACAUAUCUGUUUUGUCAUGAAAUUAGUGGUUCUCAAAUUGAGCCUGUGGAUCACCAGAGGCCACUAGGGCCUAAAUGGUGGUCCACAGAUUAAUCUCCAUCCCAUCCCCUUCACCACAGCCCACCCCACUCCAGCCAUCCUCCCUCAGGCUUCCAGUCCCAUGGCAAGAUCACCACAUGCAGAGCUAAUACUAGGGCCUCCCAACCACUUGCUGUAACCAGCAGCUGACAACCAAAAGGUCCUGGGGCUACAGGUCACAAGAGGAGUGAGGAACGGGGGCCAAGAGAUCUUACAAGAAGGCACAGGCACUAAUAAAGCAGGUGGGGUGCGAGGGCAAAGGAAUAGAGGAAUGGAAAAUUAAGGUGGUAGAGGGCUCUUGGGGGCAGUGAUCCACUAAAAAUAAACCUGUAAUAAAGUAUCCCAUGAUGAAGAAAAAUUUGAGAACCACUGCUUUGAAAUGAUUAGGUUAGUAGUCCGGCAGGAACUGUGGAAUAUUCUGAACAGCACCUGAUACGCUAUUAGCGUUCAAAAUAAAGUUAAAUCACCCCUUCAAAAGCAGCAGUAACAAUUUUUAAAAUAACCUUAUAAAUUAGUGGCUCUUGAGCCACAUUUAUACAUUUGCCAUUUUCUCAUGAAUCCAGUCCGUCUUCAGUGU
This is a long non-coding RNA of Gorilla gorilla gorilla (western lowland gorilla), 2739 nucleotides long. RefSeq lists it as uncharacterized. Lineage: Eukaryota; Metazoa; Chordata; Mammalia; Primates; Hominidae. The record is from RefSeq and is a predicted model, not a curated record. The transcript is spliced from 3 exons.